Molecule: ribosomal RNA, 490 nt
Filed under: uncultured bacterium
Lineage: Bacteria
Description: partial 16S ribosomal RNA
Rfam family: Bacterial small subunit ribosomal RNA
Source: RNAcentral
GAUGAACGCUAGCUACAGGCUUAACACAUGCAAGUCGAGGGGCAGCAUGGUCUUAGCUUGCUAAGGCCGAUGGCGACCGGCGCACGGGUGAGUAACACGUAUCCAACCUGCCGUCUACUCUUGGACAGCCUUCUGAAAGGAAGAUUAAUACAAGAUGGCAUCAUGAGUCCGCAUGUUCACAUGAUUAAAGGUAUUCCGGUAGACGAUGGGGAUGCGUUCCAUUAGAUAGUAGGCGGGGUAACGGCCCACCUAGUCUUCGAUGGAUAGGGGUUCUGAGAGGAAGGUCCCCCACAUUGGAACUGAGACACGGUCCAAACUCCUACGGGAGGCAGCAGUGAGGAAUAUUGGUCAAUGGGCGAGAGCCUGAACCAGCCAAGUAGCGUGAAGGAUGACUGCCCUAUGGGUUGUAAACUUCUUUUAUAAAGGAAUAAAGUCGGGUAUGGAUACCCGUUUGCAUGUCCUUUAUGAAUAAGGAUCGGCUAACUCCGUG